GAUCCUGGCUCAGGAUGAACGCUGACAGAAUGCUUAACACAUGCAAGUCAACUUGAACUUUGGUUUGGGUGGCGGACGGGUGAGUAACGCGUAAAGAACUUGCCUCACAGUUAGGGACAACAUUUGGAAACGAAUGCUAAUACCUGAUAUUAUGAUUUUAGGGCAUCCUAGAAUUAUGAAAGCUAUAUGCGCUGUGAGAGAGCUUUGCGUCCCAUUAGCUAGUUGGAGAGGUAACGG
Molecule: ribosomal RNA, 237 nt
Filed under: uncultured bacterium
Lineage: Bacteria
Description: partial 16S ribosomal RNA
Rfam family: Bacterial small subunit ribosomal RNA
Source: RNAcentral